Molecule: ribosomal RNA, 497 nt
Filed under: uncultured bacterium
Lineage: Bacteria
Description: partial 16S ribosomal RNA
Rfam family: Bacterial small subunit ribosomal RNA
Source: RNAcentral
GAUGAACGCUGGCGGCGUGCCUAAUACAUGCCAGUCGAGCGAACAGACGAGGAGCUUGCUCCUCCGACGUUAGCGGCGGACGGGUGAGUAACACGUGGAUAACCUACCUAUAAGACUGGGAUAACUUCGGGAAACCGGAGCUAAUACCGGAUAAUAUAUUGAACCGCAUGGUUCAAUAGUGAAAGACGGUUUUGCUGUCACUUAUAGAUGGAUCCGCGCCGCAUUAGCUAGUUGGUAAGGUAACGGCUUACCAAGGCAACGAUGCGUAGCCGACCUGAGAGGGUGAUCGGCCACACUGGAACUGAGACACGGUCCAGACUCCUACGGGAGGCAGCAGUAGGGAAUCUUCCGCAAUGGGCGAAAGCCUGACGGAGCAACGCCGCGUGAGUGAUGAAGGUCUUCGGAUCGUAAAACUCUGUUAUUAGGGAAGAACAAAUGUGUAAGUAACUAUGCACGUCUUGACGGUACCUAAUCAGAAAGCCACGGCUAACUACGUG